This 500-nucleotide ribosomal RNA is filed under the name uncultured eukaryote. RNAcentral's name for it is "SSU rRNA". It matches the Rfam family "Eukaryotic small subunit ribosomal RNA", at positions 33 to 578 of the family's 1831-position model. The record is from RNAcentral.
CUGUCUCAGAUAGCCAUGCAUGUCUAGUAUAAAUAACUACACAGUAAAACUUGCGAAUGGGCUCAUUAAAACAGUUAUAGUUUAUUUGAUAUAUUAUAUGGAUAACUCGUAGAAAAACUAGAGCUAAUACAUGCCAUAACCGUAGGUUGUAUUUAUUAGAUAUUCCUGGUAGGUGAUUCAUAAUAACUUAGCGAAUCGUGACUCGUUCACGAUAAAUCAUUCAAGUUUCUGCCCUAUCAUGCUUUCGAUGGUAGUGUAUUGGACUACCAUGGCUCUCACGGGUAACGGAGAAUUAGGGUUCGAUUCCGGAGAAGGAGCCUGAGAAACGGCUACUACAUCUAAGGAAGGCAGCAGGCGCGUAAAUUACCCAAUCCUGAUUCAGGGAGGUAGUGACAAGAUAUAACAACGUGAAGUCAAAUUUCGCGAUUUGUAGUGAGGUUAUUCCAAACCGAAAAUUCGAGUACGAUUGGGAGGAUAAGUCUUGGGUGCCGGCACCCGCG